RNAcentral lists this ribosomal RNA (223 nucleotides) under Caliraja rhina (longnose skate). Its description in RNAcentral is "partial 16S ribosomal RNA". Lineage: Eukaryota; Metazoa; Chordata; Chondrichthyes; Rajiformes; Rajidae. The record is from RNAcentral.
AUGGAGCUUUAAACACUUAAGUUACUAUCUUAUUUAUUAAAUAUCUAAAGACUUAACCAUUCCAAUAGUAAUCUAACUUAAUGUUUUCGGUUGGGGCGACCAAGGAGUAAAAGAAAACCUCCUCAUCGAUUGAGUAUUUUUACUUAAAAAUCAGAAUGACAAUUCUGAUUAAUAGAAUAUCUAACGAAUAAUGACCCAGGGCUAUACCCUGAUCAAUGAACCA